RNAcentral lists this ribosomal RNA (511 nucleotides) under uncultured bacterium. Its description in RNAcentral is "bacterial SSU rRNA". It matches the Rfam family "Bacterial small subunit ribosomal RNA", at positions 28 to 528 of the family's 1533-position model. The record is from RNAcentral.
GACGAACGCUGGCGGCGUGGAUUAGGCAUGCAAGUCGAACGGUAUCAUCCUUUCGGGGGUGAGAGAGUGGCGAACUGGUGAGUAACACGUAGGUUAUCUACCCUCAAGACGGGGACAACCCAGGGAAACUUGGGCUAAUACCGGAUGUGAGCAACUUUUAGUUGUUUGAAAGGUGGCGUAAGCUGUCGCUUGGGGAUGAGCCUGCGUCCUAUUAGUUAGUUGGUGAGGUAACGGCUCACCUAGGCAAUGAUAGGUAGGCGGCCUUAACGGGUGGUCGCCCACACCGGGAUUGAGAUACGGCCCAGACUCCUACGGGAGGCAGCAGUCGAGAAUAGUCUACAAUGGUCGGAAGACUGAUAGUGCGACGCCGCGUGAACGAUGAACUCCCCGUCGGGGUGUAAAGUUCUUUUAUAUGUGAGCAGUGCUUCUUAUAUUAACAGUAUGGGGAGAGAGAUAUUAGCAUAUGAAUAAGCAACGGCUAACUCCGUGCCAGCAGCCGCGGUAAACUCGU